GCUGCCAGCCACAGGUCCCCGUGUGGGCAGUAGCUCCCGAAGUGGCCCAGGCACGGGAAGAAACUAAGAGUCAGUCACUCCAGCGGAAGUUCUAAGGAACUCCUUUCAUUGGCCAGGGGUCUUGGAGAAGCAAUGAAUAUCACUGACUAAAUGGAUGGAGGAGAAGAAAGAUGAUGACAAAGAACCAGUAAUGCAAAUUCAACUAUCCCUGUGUUAUAGAAGCCAGAAAAACUUAAACUGCCAGAUCUCAAGAAGCUUAGCAAAAAGUCAGAAUUUUUUAUUGUUGGAUUCAGAAAGCAUAACUGCAGAAUAAGAGUGGUGGAAGGAAAGUGUCAUUAUUCACUUCAUAAGGAGAAAACCCUGAUAACCUGACUUAUCAUCAAGAUCACUAACUCGAGGUACCCAGUGUUCACCUACUUCACAAAAAAAGACCAAAACAAGAAAAAAACAAUGGCACUUUGAGUAGAUACUCUACAAGAAAACACUGAAUUGAUCAAAGAAGACAGGAAAACCCUCUGAAGCAUGGAACCUUGAAAUCUCAGCAUAGAGAGGUAAGAAAAACACCUGGCCAGGAUUGGCUUCAAAUGCACAGGUAGCAAAAGCAAAACUAGACAAAUUAGAUUAAAUGAAA
RNAcentral lists this long non-coding RNA (631 nucleotides) under Callithrix jacchus (white-tufted-ear marmoset). Its description in RNAcentral is "lncRNA (ENSCJAG00000067015.2)". The record is from RNAcentral. Lineage: Eukaryota; Metazoa; Chordata; Mammalia; Primates; Cebidae.